ACCCAAUAGAUACCCGGGUAGUCCACGCCCUAAACGAUGAUUACUCGACAUACGCGAUACACUGUGUGUGUCUGAGCGAAAGCAUUAAGUAAUCCACCUGGGAAGUACGAUCGCAAGAUUGAAACUCAAAGGAAUUGACGGGGGUCCGGCACAAGCGGUGGAGCAUGUGGUUUAAUUACGAUGAUACGCGAGGAACCUUACCUGGGCGUAGAAUGUCCCGCGACAGGUGGUGAAAGCUACCCUUGUAGCAAUACACGCGGGAUAAGGUGCUGCAUGGCUGUCGUCAGCUCGUGCCGUGAGGUGUUGGGUUAAGUCCCGCAACGAGCGCAACCCUAUCUUUAGUUGCCAUCAGGUAAUGCUGGGAACUCUAAAGAAACUGCCGUCGUAAGGCGUGAGGAAGGAGGGGAUGAUGUCAAGUCAUCAUGGCCUUUAUGCCCGAGGGCUACACACGUGCUACAAUGGCGAGUACAAAGGGCAGCUACCUGGUAACAGGAUGCUAAUCUCAAAAAAACUCGUCUCAGUUCGGA
RNAcentral lists this ribosomal RNA (527 nucleotides) under uncultured bacterium. Its description in RNAcentral is "bacterial SSU rRNA". It matches the Rfam family "Bacterial small subunit ribosomal RNA", at positions 772 to 1297 of the family's 1533-position model. The record is from RNAcentral.